GUGGGUUUCAGUGGUUACCUGCUGAGGCGGCAUUGGGCAUGGAGCAUCCGAGGGUCCAAGCUUUCCCCUGAGAGGCCUCACACUUGAACUUAGAGGAAGAGUGAGUGGCCCUGGAGCUGGGCCUUCCAGUAGGAGCAGGGUUUCUGCAGGGAAGCAGAGAGAGGAGCCCGGGAGAAGGCACACGGGUUCUUCUCAGCCACCGUCAACAACCCCAGCUGCUACCAAGAUGAGGAAACUGCCGCUCAGAGACGGCAGCCGACCCAGCCAAGGCCGCACAGCCAGGAUUCAAAGCCAUACCGCUCAGCUCCUGCCUCCAGGCUCUGCCUUUGCAUGUGGCUUCUCCUGGCUCCUGGACCCUUCCCCGGCCCUCCCAGCUGGCUGUGCUGUGACAGUGGGCGGGGGAGUGCCAAGGCUCUGCCCUGCCCCCCGCCCUUGGCAUCUCCGGUCAAUAUGGCACUCACAGCUCCCUGGGCAUGGACCCCCUCCUGCCAUCCCCACUUAAAGUGAUACUUUAAUAAAUUAUGCUUUUAUGUUAUUACACGUGGAGCUAU
Molecule: long non-coding RNA, 551 nt
Filed under: Homo sapiens (human)
Lineage: Eukaryota; Metazoa; Chordata; Mammalia; Primates; Hominidae
Description: HSALNT0290734
Source: RNAcentral